UACGUAGGGGGCAAGCGUUGUCCGGAAUCAUUGGGCGUAAAGCGCGCGUAGGCGGCCUCAUAAGUCCGCUGUAAAAGUCAAAGGCUCAACCUUUGAAUGCCGGUGGAUACUGUGAGGCUAGAGUCCGGAAGGGGCGAGUGGAACUCCUGGUGUAGCGGUGGAAUGCGCAGAUAUCAGGAAGAACACCAACGGCGAAGGCAGCUCGCUGGGACGGUACUGACGCUGAGGCGCGAAAGCGUGGGGAGCAAACAGG
This 253-nucleotide ribosomal RNA is filed under the name uncultured bacterium. RNAcentral describes it as "partial 16S ribosomal RNA". It matches the Rfam family "Bacterial small subunit ribosomal RNA", at positions 524 to 776 of the family's 1533-position model. The record is from RNAcentral.